This 287-nucleotide ribosomal RNA is filed under the name Samastacus spinifrons. RNAcentral describes it as "partial 12S ribosomal RNA". The record is from RNAcentral. Lineage: Eukaryota; Metazoa; Arthropoda; Malacostraca; Decapoda; Parastacidae.
AAAUUUAAAGAAUUUGGCGGUAUUUUAGUCUAGUUAGAGGAACCUGUUUUAUAAAUGAUACUACACGCAAUAUCUUACUAGUUCUUGUUUGCUUGUAUACCGUCAUUAUUAGAUAACUUUGAUAGAGUGUUGUUGAAAUUAGGGCCCUAAGUUUAUUAGAUCAAGGUGCAGCUUAUGGGCCAGUAAAAAUGGGUUACAAUAAAAUUUUUUUAACGGAUUGGUGUUUGAAAAGGGCCAUGAAGGGGGAUUUAAUUGUAAUGAUUUUAUGUAAUAAGUUGGGGUGAUAU